This 1423-nucleotide ribosomal RNA is filed under the name metagenome. RNAcentral describes it as "bacterial LSU rRNA". It matches the Rfam family "Bacterial large subunit ribosomal RNA", at positions 1477 to 2925 of the family's 2925-position model. The record is from RNAcentral.
GAAGGUAAGACAGAGCCGGGAAUGAGAAAACCGGUGCAAGCACAAUAGAUGUGUGGGAGGAAAAUCCCCCGCAUAAGUCAAAGGUGUGAUGCGGACCGAAAAAGAGUAGGGAAGCUGUUAAGCAAGCCGUCAAGAAAAGCUGCUAUUGUUUCAUUAUGGCCCGUACCGUAAACCGACACAGGUGGAUGGGGAGAGAAUCCUAAGGCCGGCGGAAGAAGUAUUGUUAAGGAACUCGGCAAAAUGACCCCGUAACUUCGGGAGAAGGGGUGCCUGCGAGAGCAGGCCGCAGAGAAGAGGCCCAAGCAACUGUUUAGCAAAAACACAGGUCUAUGCAAAACCGAAAGGUGAGGUAUAUGGGCUGACGCCUGCCCGGUGCUGGAAGGUUAAGGGGAGUGGUCAGGAAACGAAGCCACGAACUUAAGCCCCAGUAAACCGGCCGUAACAAUAACGGUCCUAAGGUAGCGAAAUUCCUUGUCGGGUAAGUUCCGACCCGCACGAAAGGCGUAAUGAUUUGGGCGCUGUCUCGACAAUACAUCCGGUGAAAUUGAAGUGCCAGUGAAGAUGCUGGCUACCUGCGCCAGGACGGAAAGACCCCAUGGAGCUUUACUCCAGCUUGAUACUGGGACCCGGUAUUGCAUGUACAGGAUAGGUGGGAGGCUAGGAAAUGUGGACGCCAGUCUGCAUGGAGCCGCUGUUGGGAUACCACCCUUGUGGUGCUGGGUUUCUAACCAGAGGCCGUGAACCGGUCUGGGGACAAUGUCAGGUGGGGAGUUUGACUGGGGCGGUCGCCUCCGAAAGGUUAUCGGAGGCGCCCAAAGGUUCCCUCAGAAUGGUUGGAAACCAUUCGAAGAGUGCAAAGGCAGAAGGGAGCUUGACUGCGACACCGACGGGUGGAGCAGGUACGAAAGUAGGGCUUAGUGAUCCGGUGGAAUUUAAGUGGGAAUGCCAUCGCUCAACGGAUAAAAGCUACCCUGGGAUAACAGGCUGAUCACUCCCAAGAGUUCACAUCGACGGAGUGGUUUGGCACCUCGAUGUCGGCUCAUCGCAUCCUGGGGCUGAAGUCGGUCCCAAGGGUUGGGCUGUUCGCCCAUUAAAGCGGUACGCGAGCUGGGUUCAGAACGUCGUGAGACAGUUCGGUCCCUAUCCGGCGUGGGCGUAGGAUAUCUGAGAGGAGCUGUCCUUAGUACGAGAGGACCGGGAUGGACUGACCUCUGGUGUACCGGUUGGCGAUCAACGCCACGGCCGGGUAGCCAUGUCGGGACGGGAUAAACGCUGAAGGCAUCUAAGCGUGAAGCCCCCCUCAAGAUGAGAUAUCCCAUCGUAAGAGUAAGACCCCUUGAAGACGACGAGGUUGAUAGGGCAGGGGUGGAAGUGCUGUAAGGCAUGGAGCUGACUGCUACUAAUCGGUCGAGGGCUUGAUCAA